UAAACUAAAAAGGCAAGGCAUAGAUAGAAAGAAAAAAGAUGGCCUCAUAAAAAAGUUUUUGGACAUGAAUUUGUGUAUGUGACAUUUUUCAGUGUUAUUGAAGUCAGGAAAGAGAUGAACAGGAAACUCCAGAUUCAUGCAGAGGAGUCCAUUUAACAUCAUGCUGUUUUCCAAUGACACACUUCACAACAAAAGAUUUCAGGAAUGGGGAAGUGUUUUGAAGGCUUGUAAGAAAAAAAAGCUGCUCUCAUUUCCAAGACGAGUCUUGCUAUGAAGUCUCAGGAAUCGGCUUAUAUGGGUGAGUUAUCACAAACCUUUUAAGAAAAUGGGAGGACAUAGGCUGUAUUUAAAAUUGAAAAUAUACGUGUGUGUGUGUGUGUAUGUGU
This 386-nucleotide long non-coding RNA is filed under the name Dromaius novaehollandiae (emu). RNAcentral describes it as "lncRNA (ENSDNVG00000011202.1)". The record is from RNAcentral. Lineage: Eukaryota; Metazoa; Chordata; Aves; Casuariiformes; Dromaiidae.